AGAGGUGUAGCUCAACUGGUAGAGCACAUGCUUAGCAUGCAUGAGGUCCUGGGUUCAAUCCCCAGCACCUCCU
RNAcentral lists this transfer RNA (73 nucleotides) under Camelus bactrianus (Bactrian camel). It matches the Rfam family "tRNA". Rfam says of the family: Transfer RNA (tRNA) molecules are approximately 80 nucleotides in length. Their secondary structure includes four short double-helical elements and three loops (D, anti-codon, and T loops). Lineage: Eukaryota; Metazoa; Chordata; Mammalia; Artiodactyla; Camelidae. The record is from Rfam by way of RNAcentral. RNAcentral also lists the same sequence under 1 other name.